This 327-nucleotide ribosomal RNA is filed under the name uncultured eukaryote. RNAcentral's name for it is "partial 18S ribosomal RNA". It matches the Rfam family "Eukaryotic small subunit ribosomal RNA", at positions 1470 to 1796 of the family's 1831-position model. The record is from RNAcentral.
CCCCUAGAUGUUCUGGGCCGCACGCGCGCUACACUGACGAAUGCAACGAGCUUAUAACCUUGGCCGAAAGGUCUGGGUAAUCUCCAAAUUUCGUCGUGAUGGGGAUAGAUUAUUGCAAUUAUUAAUCUUCAACGAGGAAUGCCUAGUAAGCGCAAGUCAUCAGCUUGCGUUGAUUACGUCCCUGCCCUUUGUACACACCGCCCGUCGCUCCUACCGAUUGAAUGGUCCGGUGAAGCGUUCGGACCGUGGCCUUUGGACGGUUCGCCGUCUGUUGGCUGCGGGAAGUUCGUUAAACCUUAUCAUUUAGAGGAAGGAGAAGUCGUANCA